GAUGAACGCUGGCGGCGUGCCUAAUACAUGCAAGUCGAGCGAACGGACGAGAAGCUUGCUUCUCUGAUGUUAGCGGCGGACGGGUGAGUAACACGUGGAUAACCUACCUAUAAGACUGGGAUAACUUCGGGAAACCGGAGCUAAUACCGGAUAAUAUUUUGAACCGCAUGGUUCAAAAGUGAAAGACGGUUUUGCUGUCACUUAUAGAUGGAUCCGCGCUGCAUUAGCUAGUUGGUAAGGUAACGGCUUACCAAGGCAACGAUGCAUAGCCGACCUGAGAGGGUGAUCGGCCACACUGGAACUGAGACACGGUCCAGACUCCUACGGGAGGCAGCAGUAGGGAAUCUUCCGCAAUGGGCGAAAGCCUGACGGAGCAACGCCGCGUGAGUGAUGAAGGUCUUCGGAUCGUAAAACUCUGUUAUUAGGGAAGAACAUAUGUGUAAGUAACUGUGCACAUCUUGACGGUGCCUAAUCAGAAAGCCACGGCUAACUACGUG
Molecule: ribosomal RNA, 497 nt
Filed under: uncultured bacterium
Lineage: Bacteria
Description: partial 16S ribosomal RNA
Rfam family: Bacterial small subunit ribosomal RNA
Source: RNAcentral